UUUGACCCAGGACAGAGGGUCUUUGAAUAUGGCUCGCGAGCCCACUGGGUGAUAAAAAGUUCGUGAUCUGGCUCCACAUUCAAAAA
Long non-coding RNA from Gavialis gangeticus (Gharial), 86 nucleotides. RefSeq lists it as uncharacterized. The record is from RefSeq and is a predicted model, not a curated record. The transcript is spliced from 3 exons. NCBI's taxonomy places the organism in Eukaryota, Metazoa, Chordata, Crocodylia, Gavialidae.